UGCAAGUCGAGGGGCAGCACGAGGUAGCAAUACUUUGGUGGCGACCGGCGCACGGGUGCGUAACGCGUAUGCAACCUACCUUUAACAGGGGCAUAACACUGAGAAAUUGGUACUAAUACCCCAUAAUAUUUCAGAAGGCAUCUUUUGAGGUUGAAAACUCCGGUGGUUAUGGAUGGGCAUGCGUUGUAUUAGCUGGUUGGUGAGGUAACGGCUCACCAAGGCAACGAUACAUAGGGGGACUGAGAGGUUAACCCCCACAUUGGUACUGAGACACGGACCAAACUCC
RNAcentral lists this ribosomal RNA (286 nucleotides) under uncultured Alistipes sp. RNAcentral describes it as "partial 16S ribosomal RNA". It matches the Rfam family "Bacterial small subunit ribosomal RNA", at positions 56 to 339 of the family's 1533-position model. Lineage: Bacteria; Pseudomonadati; Bacteroidota; Bacteroidia; Bacteroidales; Rikenellaceae. The record is from RNAcentral.